UGGAAGGUAGCUCAGUGGUAGAGCCCUCGCCUAGCAUGUGUGAGGUCCUGGGUUUAAUUCCCAGCAUUGCAA
This 72-nucleotide transfer RNA is filed under the name Heterocephalus glaber (naked mole-rat). It matches the Rfam family "tRNA". From Rfam's summary of the family: Transfer RNA (tRNA) molecules are approximately 80 nucleotides in length. Their secondary structure includes four short double-helical elements and three loops (D, anti-codon, and T loops). Further hydrogen bonds mediate the characteristic L-shaped molecular structure. tRNAs have two regions of fundamental functional importance: the anti-codon, which is responsible for specific mRNA codon recognition, and the 3' end, to which the tRNAs corresponding amino acid is attached (by aminoacyl-tRNA synthetases). tRNAs cope with the degeneracy of the genetic code in two manners: having more than one tRNA (with a specific anti-codon) for a particular amino acid; and 'wobble' base-pairing, i.e. permitting non-standard base-pairing at the 3rd anti-codon position. Lineage: Eukaryota; Metazoa; Chordata; Mammalia; Rodentia; Bathyergidae. The record is from Rfam by way of RNAcentral.